Molecule: ribosomal RNA, 492 nt
Filed under: uncultured bacterium
Lineage: Bacteria
Description: partial 16S ribosomal RNA
Rfam family: Bacterial small subunit ribosomal RNA
Source: RNAcentral
AGUGAACGCUGGCGGUAGGCCUAACACAUGCAAGUCGAACGGCAGCACAGUAAGAGCUUGCUCUUACGGGUGGCGAGUGGCGGACGGGUGAGGAAUACAUCGGAAUCUACUUUUUCGUGGGGGAUAACGUAGGGAAACUUACGCUAAUACCGCAUACGACCUACGGGUGAAAGCAGGGGAUCUUCGCACCUUGCGCGAUUGAAUGAGCCGAUGUCGGAUUAGCUAGUUGGCGAGGUAAAGGCCCACCAAGGCGACGAUCCGUAGCUGGUCUGAGAGGAUGAUCAGCCACACUGGAACUGAGACACGGUCCAGACUCCUACGGGAGGCAGCAGUGGGGAAUAUUGGACAAUGGGCGCAAGCCUGAUCCAGCCAUACCGCGUGAGUGAAGAAGGCCUUCGGGUUGUAAAGCCCUUUUGUUGGGAAAGAAAAGCAGCAGGUUAAUACCCCGCUGUUCUGACGGUACCCAAAGAAUAAGCACCGGCUAACUUCGUG